RNAcentral lists this long non-coding RNA (254 nucleotides) under Vigna radiata. Its description in RNAcentral is "long non-coding RNA (VRAD_LNC011069)". Lineage: Eukaryota; Viridiplantae; Streptophyta; Magnoliopsida; Fabales; Fabaceae. The record is from RNAcentral.
AAAAUAAAAAACGUGGAAGAGGUGGUGUGUUUGGAGGGGGCGUGUCGAAAAGGGGGAGACAAGAUUGGUUAGAGGGAAUUUUCAUUGGGAUUGGAGAGAGGAAAAAAAAACGGUUAGAGGAUUUUGGAAAGUUAGAGAGCAUCAAGAGGGUGAAGCUGAGGAAAGGAAGGGAAACGGAUUAACCAGGCAGAGGAAGAAGUGAUCAGAGGAGUCAUUUGGAUUGUAGCUGUCACCGUUGACAACAGAGGAUAGGC